GAAAUGCGAUAAGUAAUGUGAAUUGCAGAAUUCAGUGAAUCAUCGAAUCUUUGAACGCACAUUGCGCCCGCCAGUAUUCUGGCGGGCAUGCCUGUUCGAGCGUCAUUACAACCCUCAGGCCCCCGGGCCUGGCGUUGGGGAUCGGCGGAAGCCCCCUGCGGGCACAACGCCGUCCCCCAAAUACAGUGGCGGUCCCGCCGCAGCUUCCAUUGCGUAGUAGCUAACACCUCGCAACUGGAGAACGGCGCGGCCACGCCGUAAAACACCCAACUUCUGAAUGUUGACCUCGAAUCAGGUAGGAAUACCCGCUGAACUUAAGC
This 320-nucleotide unclassified non-coding RNA is filed under the name plant metagenome. RNAcentral describes it as "partial contains 5.8S ribosomal RNA, internal transcribed spacer 2, and large subunit ribosomal RNA". The stretch from base 1 to 105 matches the Rfam family "5.8S ribosomal RNA", at positions 50 to 154 of the family's 154-position model. The record is from RNAcentral.